RNAcentral lists this ribosomal RNA (253 nucleotides) under uncultured bacterium. Its description in RNAcentral is "partial 16S ribosomal RNA". It matches the Rfam family "Bacterial small subunit ribosomal RNA", at positions 524 to 776 of the family's 1533-position model. The record is from RNAcentral.
UACGUAGGUGACAAGCGUUGUCCGGAUUUACUGGGCGUAAAGAGCGCGCAGGCGGUCGAUCAAGUCGAGUGUGAAAGCCCCGGGCUCAACCUGGGAAUUGCAUCCGAUACUGAUUGGCUAGAGUAUGAGAGAGGGAGGUAGAAUUCCACGUGUAGCGGUGAAAUGCGUAGAUAUGUGGAGGAAUACCGGUGGCGAAGGCGGCCUCCUGGCUUAAUACUGACGCUGAGGUGCGAAAGCGUGGGGAUCAAACAGG